This 279-nucleotide ribosomal RNA is filed under the name Triticum aestivum (bread wheat). Its description in RNAcentral is "partial small subunit ribosomal RNA". Lineage: Eukaryota; Viridiplantae; Streptophyta; Magnoliopsida; Poales; Poaceae. The record is from RNAcentral.
CGAUUCGAUAGAAAAGAAGGAAUAGUGUGCAUUUUUCGUUGGGGAUUCCCUGAAAUAAAACGUUGCGUCUUCCUUCGAUUCCUUAUGCGGGAUAUCUAAUCAAUUAGAAUUCAGGUUAAAGAGGGUCUUUAUCCUCGUCGUAUUAUUUAUAUGGAAAUCCGGGGCUAGGGGAUCAUCCCCUUGACUCGUACUAAUGAUAAAUUUUUUACUCCACGAGAAAUUGAACAAAAAGCUGCCGAAUUGGCCUAUUUGUUGCGCGUACCAAUUGAAGUAUUUUGA